UAGCAUAUCAAUAAGCGGAGGAAAAGAAACCAACAGGGAUUGCCCUAGUAACGGCGAGUGAAGCGGCAACAGCUCAAAUUUGAAAUCUGGCUUCGGCCCGAGUUGUAAUUUGUAGAGGAAGCUUUAGGCGCGGCACCUUCUGAGUCCCCUGGAACGGGGCGCCAUAGAGGGUGAGAGCCCCGUAUAGUUGGAUGCCUAGCCUGUGUAAAGCUCCUUCGACGAGUCGAGUAGUUUGGGAAUGCUGCUCAAAAUGGGAGGUAAAUUUCUUCUAAAGCUAAAUAUUGGCCAGAGACCGAUAGCGCACAAGUAGAGUGAUCGAAAGAUGAAAAGCACUUUGAAAAGAGGGUUAAAUAGCACGUGAAAUUGUUGAAAGGGAAGCGCUUGUGACCAGACUUGCGCCGGGCGGAUCAUCCGGUGUUCUCACCGGUGCACUCCGCCCGGCUCAGGCCAGCAUCGGUUCUCGUGGGGGGAUAAAGGCCCUGGGAACGUAGCUCCUCCGGGAGUGUUAUAGCCCAGGGUGUAAUGCCCUCGCGGGGACCGAGGUUCGCGCAUCUGCAAGGAUGCUGGCGUAAUGGUCAUCAGCGACCCGUCUUGAAACACGGACCAAGGAGUCAAGGUUUUGCGCGAGUGUUUGGGUGUUAAACCCGCACGCGUAAUGAAAGUGAACGUAGGUGAGAGCUUCGGCGCAUCAUCGACCGAUCCUGAUGUAUUCGGAUGGAUUUGAGUAGGAGCGUUAAGCCUUGGACCCGAAAGAUGGUGAACUAUGCUUGGAUAGGGUGAAGCCAGAGGAAACUCUGGUGGAGGCUCGCAGCGGUUCUGACGUGCAAAUCGAUCGUCAAAUCUGAGCAUGGGGGCGAAAGACUAAUCGAACCAUCUAGUAGCUGGUUACCGCCGAU
This 896-nucleotide ribosomal RNA is filed under the name Collariella pachypodioides. Its description in RNAcentral is "LSU rRNA". It matches the Rfam family "Eukaryotic large subunit ribosomal RNA", at positions 36 to 965 of the family's 3401-position model. The record is from RNAcentral. Lineage: Eukaryota; Fungi; Ascomycota; Sordariomycetes; Sordariales; Chaetomiaceae.